GGGGUUGUAGCUCAGUGGUAGAGUGCUUGCCUUGCAUACAUGAGGCCCUGGGUUCAAUCCUCAGCACCACA
RNAcentral lists this transfer RNA (71 nucleotides) under Marmota monax (woodchuck). Its description in RNAcentral is "tRNA.Ala". It matches the Rfam family "tRNA". Rfam says of the family: Transfer RNA (tRNA) molecules are approximately 80 nucleotides in length. Their secondary structure includes four short double-helical elements and three loops (D, anti-codon, and T loops). Lineage: Eukaryota; Metazoa; Chordata; Mammalia; Rodentia; Sciuridae. The record is from RNAcentral.